UAAGUAAGUGGUGGAAAUUAAACCAAAUGGGAUAUCUUUAGUAAUUGCGAAUGAACAAGGAUAUGCUUAGCUUGACAAAUGGAGCUAUUGGCUUUGAAUUGUAUUUGUGGAAUGUAUUACCAACAGAGGUGCAGGUGCCAGCCUAUUAAAUAAAGCGUCAAUGAGGGUGAGAAUCCUGUUUGUCAUGUGCAGCCCUUUGUGCACGGUGUAUAUUUGCUGAGUCACACUCCUUGGCAUUGGAAUGCAAAGUGGGUGGUAAGUUUCAUGUACAGGUAAACAUGCAAUUGAGACUGAUAGCACACAAGUACCAUGAGGGAAAUAUGAAAAGGACUUUGAAAAGAUAAUUAAAUGAGUUUGUAUUUGCUGAACACAAAGUAAACAGACUUGAUUUGCUUGGUGGGAGUGUUGCACUUGCUUGACAAGAGCUUUGGGCUGCGGGUGUAAUGAUUCUUUCUUUGCAUGCCAGUUUCUAUGUGUACAUCUGAUUACCUUUGCACAUGAAUGAUAAGUCUCCUGUGGGGGGUGGAUUGCAUGUGCAUGUAAUGAUUUGUGUUUUGAUAAAUGUGUCUGGUGUAUGUGUGUGUGUUCCUGUGCUUGGGGAUGCUUCCUUCCUUGGACUUACAAGCCCUGACACACACAUGCUGGCAAAAUGCUUCUGCUUGACCCG
Molecule: ribosomal RNA, 667 nt
Filed under: Alexandrium tamarense
Lineage: Eukaryota; Dinophyceae; Gonyaulacales; Pyrocystaceae
Description: eukaryotic LSU rRNA
Rfam family: Eukaryotic large subunit ribosomal RNA
Source: RNAcentral